This is a long non-coding RNA of Numida meleagris (helmeted guineafowl), 2017 nucleotides long. The record is from Ensembl. Lineage: Eukaryota; Metazoa; Chordata; Aves; Galliformes; Numididae.
GCGUCACGGCACCCUCGGGUGCCACCACCGACACCACCAUCACCGACCUCGGCGACGGCACCUACCGCGUGCGCUACACCCCCAGCGAGGAAGGGCUGCACGUGGUGGAGGUGACGUUCCAGGAGGUGGCGGUGCCGCAGAGCCCGUUCCGUGUGGCCGUGGCCGAGGGUUGCGAUCCCACGCGCGUCAGCGCCCACGGGCCCGGCCUGGAGAGCGGCCUGGUGGGAAGAGCCAACUGCUUCACCGUGCAGACGCGGUAAGGACCCAACACCAGCACCACCAUCAUCAUCACCAACACCUGCACCAUCAUCAUCAUCACCAACACCAGCACCACCACCAUCAACACCAGCACCACCAUCAUCAUCACCAACAACACCACCAUCAUCAUCAUCACCAACACCNGCACCAUCAUCAACAUCACCAACACCAGCACCAUCAACAUCACCAACACCAGCACCAUCAUCAUCACCAACACCAGCACCAUCAUCAUCACCAACACCAGCACCAUCAACACCAGCACCAUCAUCAUCAUCACCAGCGCCACCACCCUCAUCACCAGCAUCAUCAUCAUCAUCCCCAAUACCAGCACCAUCAUCAUCAUCAACACCAGCACCAUCGUCACCAUCAUCAUCAUCAUCAUCACCAACACCAGCAUCACCAUCAUCAUCACCAACACCACCACCAUCAUCAACAUUGCCAGUAGCACCAUCAUCACCAUCACCAUCAUCAUCAUUGCCAACACCAUCAUCACCACCACCACCACCACCACCACCACCACCAACACCAUCACCAUCAUCACCACCACCACCAACACCAUCAUCAUCAUCACCACCAUCAUCAUCACCAUCAACACCAGCACCACCAUCACCAUCAUCAUCACCAUCGCCAACACAGUCAUCAACACCAGCACCACCACCAUCACCAACACCAGCACCACCAUCAUCAUCAUCACCAACACCAGCACCAUCAUCACCAUCAUCACCAUCAUCAUCACCAACACCAUCAUCAUCAUCAUCACCACCAACACCAGCACCAUCAUCACCAUCAUCACCGUCAUCAUCAUCAUCAUCACCAACACCAGCACCACCAUUGUCAUCACCAACACCACCACCAUCAACACCACCACUAUCAGCACCACCACCAUCAUCAACAUCACCAGCACCAGCACCAUCAUCACCAGCAUCAUCAUCAUCAUCCCCAAUACCAGCACCAUCAUCGUCACCAACACCACCACCAUCAUCAACAUCACCAGUACCACCAUCAUCACCAUCACCAUCAUCACCAACACCAGCACCAUCAACACCACCACCAACACCAGCACCAUCACCAUCAUCGCCACCAUCACCACCAUCACCAUCAUCACUAUCAUCACCAUCACCAUCAUCGCCAUGUCCACCCCCAUCCCCGUGCCAUCCAUGAGCCACCAUUGUCCCCUUGUCACGCAAGUGUCACCUCCAUCCCCGUGCCACCCACGUGCCACCAUUGUCCCCUUGUCCCAGAGGUGCCACCCCCAUGUGCCACCGUUGUCCCCUUGUCACAAAAGUGCCCCCUCCAUCCCCGUGCCACCCACGUGCCACCAUUGUCCCCAUGUCCCCAACUCACCCCCCCAUCCCCUCAUCCCAGAGGUGCCACCCCCAUCCCCGUGCCACCCACGUGCCACCAUUGUCCCCUUGUCCCAGAGGUGCCACCCCCAUGUGCCACCGUUGUCCCCUUGUCACAAAAGUGCCACCCCCAUCUCCGAGCCACCCACGUGCCACCAUUGUCCCCAUGUCCGCAACUCACCCCCCCAUCCCCUCAUCGCAGAGGUGCCACCCCCAUCCCCGUGCCACCCACGUGCCACCAUUGUCCCCUUGUCCCAGAGGUGCCACCCCCAUGUGCCACCAUUGUCCCCUUGUCACCAAAGUGCCACCCCCAUCCCCGUGCCACUCAUGUGCCACCAUUGUCCCCUUGUCCCAGGCUCACCCCCCAUCCCCUUAUCACACAAGUGCCCCCCCCAUCCCCGAGCCACCCACGUGCC